Prunus avium (sweet cherry) is the source of this 4266-nucleotide non-coding RNA. Lineage: Eukaryota; Viridiplantae; Streptophyta; Magnoliopsida; Rosales; Rosaceae. The record is from RefSeq and is a predicted model, not a curated record.
AAAAAGCAAACGGAAAAAGAAAAAAAUAAAGAAAAGAAACACACAAGAAAUUGUCUCCCUACCUCAUCCCGUUUGGACCCAAAAACCACAAAACCAAAAGAAACCAAACAACACCGUUCUCUCUCUCUCUCUCUCUCUCCUCUUCUCUCUAUAACCAAACCCUAAACACGAAGACUUUCUUUUCUCUUUCAGAAACUUCAAAUUCGCAAUCCGAUGUUCUAAUCCGGCAAAUCUCCGCGUUGAUCCGGACACAGGAAAGGAAGAGGAAAGAGAAAUAGAAAUUGGCAUGGUGUGAUACGCAGCUAUUGGUUUUGGAAGCCGUUGUUUUCUAGAUUUAAUGCUGUUUUUGGUUAAUCAAACAUACUUGAUGGACGAUGAUUACACAUAUGGAUAAAAUGUCAGCUCCUUCAUCAAGGGAGCGUGCCCAACGCCUCUAUGACAAGGUUAUUGAAUUGGAGAAUAGGCGUCGGAGGUCUGCUCAAGCUCGAAUUCCCUCAGAUCCCAAUGCCUGGCAACAGAUACGUGAGAAUUAUGAAGCAAUAAUUCUUGAGGAUCAUGCUUUUUCUGAGCAGCACAAUAUUGAGUAUGCUUUGUGGCAGCUGCAUUACAAGCGUAUUGAGGAAUUGAGAGCACACUUUAGUGCUGCUACGGCUUCUGCAAGUUCAAACUCAUCUCAGGCUGUGAAGGGCCCUGCUCGGCCUGAUCGGAUUACAAAAAUAAGAUUGCAGUUUAAAACAUUCCUUUCAGAGGCAACAGGAUUUUAUCAUGAUUUGAUAGUGAAGAUCAGAGCUAAGUAUGGGCUCCCUCUCGGGUAUUUCUCUGAGGAUUCUGAAAAUAAAAUUGUUAUGGACAAGGAUGGAAAGAAAUCUACUGAAAUGAAGAAAGGUCUGAUAUCGUGCCACCGAUGUUUGAUCUACUUGGGUGAUCUUGCACGCUACAAAGGAUUGUAUGGGGAGGGGGACUCCAAAACUCGUGAGUAUGCUGCAGCCUCAAGUUACUACUUGCAAGCUGCAUCUCUCUGGCCAUCAAGUGGGAAUCCCCAUCAUCAGCUUGCUAUUUUGGCAUCCUAUUCGGGGGAUGAGUUGGUGGCAGUUUAUCGAUAUUUUCGUAGCCUGGCGGUGGAUAGUCCCUUUUCAACUGCAAGGGAUAACUUGAUUGUUGCAUUUGAGAAGAAUCGUCAGAGUUACUCUCAACUGCCUGGGAAUACUAAUGCUUCUGCAGUCAAAGAGUUGCCUGCACGAUUGACAGGCAAAGGUAGGGGGAAGGCGGAAGCAAUACCUGCAUCUAAAGAUAACAAUACAGAAGUGAGCCUUGUUAAGGAAAAAGCAUCCAGUGCUCAGGAUACUUAUAAGGGUUUUUGCAUACGGUUUGUCCGUCUAAAUGGAAUUCUUUUCACACGUACUAGCCUGGAGACAUUUGUAGAAGUUCUCUCUGUGGUAAGCAGUGGUUUAUGUGAGCUCCUGUCUUCUGGAGCAGAGGAGUUGCAGAAUUUCGGUGCAGAUUCUGUUGAGAAUGGACUUUUCAUUGUUAGACUUGUCUCCAUAUUGAUAUUCACAGUUCACAAUGUGAAGAAGGAAAGUGAAGGUCAGACAUAUGCUGAAAUUGUACAACGUGCUGUCGUACUGCAGAAUGCAUUUACUGCUGUCUUUGAGUUGAUGGGGCACAUCUUAGAGAGAUGCGUCCAGUUGUGUGAUCCUUCUUCAAGUUUCCUGUUACCGGGCAUUCUAAUGUUUGUAGAAUGGUUAGCAUGUUGCCCGGAUGUUGCAGCUGGAAGCGAUUCAGAUGAAAAACAGACUAAAGUUAGAUCAAAGUUCUGGAUGGUUUGCAUCUCCUUCCUGAAUAGUAUCUCGUCAACAGGGCUUGUGUCCAUAGAUGAUGAUGAAGAUGAGACUUGCUUUAAUAAUAUGAGCAGAUAUGAAGAAGGGGAAACUGAGAACCGUCUUGCUUUGUGGGAGGAUUUUGAGUUGAGAGGAUUCAUUCCACUUCUUCCAGCGCAAACUAUAUUGGACUUCUCAAGGAAGCAUUCUUUUGGAAGUGACGGCCACAAGGAAAAAGGGGCCCGUGUUAAACGGAUUGUGGCGGCAGGCAAGGCUCUUGCAAAUGUGAUUAAGGUUGAUGAGAAAGCAGUAUAUUUUGAUUCGAAGGCAAAGAAAUUUGUCAUUGGUUUUGAGCCUCCGGUGCAAAAUGAUUUUGUUCCUACCUCCUAUAUGGGCAUGGCUACUGAAAAUGAUAAUGUGCAAGAAAAUCAAACAGAGAAUACAAUGAAGUUGGGAGUUGCAUAUCCAAAGCCUGAGUUAACCAUGGAAGGGGAUGAGGAAGAUGAAGUAAUAGUUUUUAAGCCAAUAGUGGCUGAGAAGCGGCCUGAUGUGGUAAAAGUGGCUGAGAAGCGGCCUGAUGUGGUAAAAGUGGCUGAGAAGCGGCCUGAUGUGGUAAACACUACUUGGGCAGCCUAUGAAGGCCUGGUGCCUGGAAAAAAUGCUUCUCCAGGUGAUGUUAAAGUUAAUGGCACUUAUGUCACUGCCCCUUUUGAUAAUCUUCGCCAUCAAACCCCUUUUAGUGCUGGUUCACAAAUACCUGUAUCUGUUGGUAAUGGUGUACCACACCAUUUGCAAUCAAUUCAGUCACAUGCUUCCAAGCUGUCAAUGGAAGCUGGUUUUGGUGCUAGUUCACAACUACCUGUAUCAGUUGCUAAUAGUAUCCCCCAGAAUUUGCAACCAACUCAAUCACAUGCUUUGAAGUUGUCAACAGAGGAAGAAAUGUCUCUUGCUCACGGCUUAAAGAGUAUGGGAUUUAUGGGGAAUGGGUAUGUACUUGCAUCUGAGCCUGUGGCAGUUUCAGUUCCAUUCCAGCAGCCAGUAAAUGGUAGUACUAGUGGUAUGGUCUACAGCCACACAAAAGCUCCAGAAGCUAUGUUGCCGAUUAAGGUUGAUGCUAUAUCAUAUUCUGGAGCAAUUGCUGACGGUUUGACUGUGAAGACAUCAUCUAACCUGCCCACAGGUAUCCGAAAGAAUCCAGUAAGUCGACCUGUUAGGCAUCUUGGUCCACCACCUGGUUUUAGCCCUGUUCCUCCUAAAAAUGUGAAUGAAUCGAUUUAUGGCUCCGACUCAAUGAGUGAGAAUCUACUGAUGGACGAUUACAGCUGGUUGGAUGGAUAUCAGAUGCCAUCUUCAACAAAAGGAAAUGGGCUCAAUAGCUCCAUUAAUAUCUCAUCUCAUUCAAACCCCAAUCGCUUCAUUAACAGCAAUGGCUUGAGUGGGCCAGUGAACUUUCCCUUUCCUGGUAAACAGGGUCCACCUAUGCAACUCCAAGGAGAAAAACAGAAAAGCUGGCAAGAUUUUCAGAUGCUCGAUGAGCUCAAACUACACCAUGAAAUGCAGCUGCAGCAACAACAACAACUUGUAAAUGGAAAUCAGCACUUGACUCCUCAGCCUGAGCAAUAUCAAGGACAGUCUGUCUGGACAGGCCGUUAUUUUGUGUGAAGUCAGUAUGGUUAUGAUGGUUCUUGAGGAUGAUCCUGGUGAAUGUCCGCAUUGCCUUUUGCUACCGAAUUCAAACUCCAAAUUUGAAGCUUUGUCAAUGUUAAUUUUCUGUUGGAGCAUUGGUGGCUUUGGCUUCUUGCUGGCAGUUACAACUACACAGAUUUUGCGAAAGCUCUCCAGCUCGGAGGAUGAGAAAUAUGGAUACAUGUUUCGUGCUGCGAAGUUCAUAAGAAGUAAGUGCCUUGUCUGGUUACAUGGGGGGUGGAUAGAGAACAUGUUAAUAAGAUCAUCUGUUGGUUUUGAGGCUUUUAUGCCUCCAGCAAUUGGUGGAAUAAAAUUGGUGUACUCGCUCUUCUUCUGAACUGUUGAAGCAUAUAUUGCUGUGGAUACUGGUAAUCAUCAGCUGGGAGGUGGUUUAGUAUGUAAUUCUAGUUGAGGUUUCUUGCGCGACAAGCUUUGGAGGGCUCUGAGUUGCACAGAUUAUUGGGAAUGUGGAAGGAAAUCAUACUAUGUAUCUGAAAUGGGAUGUGGUAGGUAUAAAAUAUUUCACUGUGAAGAUUAAGAGUAAGUCAUGUCGUGAGUACUACUACUACUAGUGUGGUGAAUGGUCAUGGUGUCCCAAUUUGAGAUUUGAACAAAAAAUAAAUGCUUUUAUUGAUCUUAGUAUGGUGGCAAGCGAUAUAUUCAACCCUUUAUGAAGUCAGGGUUUGCUAGAACUUCAUAUAAUUAAAAUAAUAUAUGUGAACAAUAUGCGUUGUUGAAUGUUAAAAACAUAUUCAAGUUUUAA